RNAcentral lists this ribosomal RNA (254 nucleotides) under uncultured bacterium. RNAcentral's name for it is "partial 16S ribosomal RNA". It matches the Rfam family "Bacterial small subunit ribosomal RNA", at positions 524 to 776 of the family's 1533-position model. The record is from RNAcentral.
CACGUAGGGUGCGAGCGUUGUCCGGAAUUAUUGGGCGUAAAGAGCUCGUAGGCGGUGUGUCGCGUCGGCCGUGAAAACCUGCAGCUUAACUGUGGGCGUGCGGUCGAUACGGGCAUCACUGGAGUUCGGCAGGGGAGACUGGAAUUCCUGGUGUAGCGGUGAAAUGCGCAGAUAUCAGGAGGAACACCCGUGGCGAAGGCGGUUCUCUGGGACGGUACUGACGCUGAGACGCGAAAGCGUGGGGAGCGAACAGG